Non-coding RNA from Diplonema papillatum, 164 nucleotides. The record is from the annotation of a GenBank genome assembly. Lineage: Eukaryota; Euglenozoa; Diplonemea; Diplonemida; Diplonemidae.
GUACAUACCUGAUUGGCGUCCGGCCUGAUCACGAAGGGAGUCGACGUAUCAACAGUCCUUGCAUUGCACUCUGCUUGGAAUGUUGGUAGGGCCUGGGGGUAAAACCCCAGGUUACCACAAUGAAAUUUUUGGCAGCGGUGGUGCUGUGCUUGCACAAAACCACC